RNAcentral lists this long non-coding RNA (389 nucleotides) under Hordeum vulgare. RNAcentral describes it as "long non-coding RNA (HVUL_LNC002514)". Lineage: Eukaryota; Viridiplantae; Streptophyta; Magnoliopsida; Poales; Poaceae. The record is from RNAcentral.
GUAAAAUUAGUAUCUCCUUUGGUUUUGCUUUUUUUGUGCUUCCUAAAUUUUAGGAAAUCAAGCUGUUCGACCACAGAUAGGAUCGGUAACUCGGUAAAAGCCACCGUUUCCAGUGCUUUUUUGAGCAAGGAAAUAUUGGUUUUAUUCGGAAAAGUUGCUUGGUGCAAAGCUAGGGUCAACAUAAAGUUUCCGACGUUAGGAGGAAUUCCCCUGAAUACCAAGAUUGUAUUUCCAUGGUAUGCAUGUUUGGGGUCACAUGACACAGCCGGGGAGGCCUGAUUUCAUAGUCAAAUGCGUAAAAAACAGGGACUUUGGGUAGGCACGUACAGGAUCAUACGUCUGGUCUCGUAAAUCGGGCAAAUAGGCUUCCUUUUUGAAGUGAAAUAGCC